UACGGGGGGGGCAAGCGUUGUUCGGAAUUACUGGGCGUAAAGGGCUCGUAGGCGGCCCACUAAGUCGGAUGUGAAAUCCCCAGGCUUAACCUGGGAACUGCAUCCGAUACUGGAUGGCUUGAAUCCGGGAGAGGGAUGCAGAAUUCCAGGUGUAGCGGUGAAAUGCGUAGAUAUCUGGAGGAAUACCGGUGGCGAAGGCGGCAUCCUGGACCGGCAUUGACGCUGAGGAGCGAAAGCUAGGGGAGCAAACGGG
This 253-nucleotide ribosomal RNA is filed under the name uncultured bacterium. RNAcentral's name for it is "partial 16S ribosomal RNA". It matches the Rfam family "Bacterial small subunit ribosomal RNA", at positions 524 to 776 of the family's 1533-position model. The record is from RNAcentral.